RNAcentral lists this unclassified non-coding RNA (239 nucleotides) under Hevea brasiliensis (rubber tree). Lineage: Eukaryota; Viridiplantae; Streptophyta; Magnoliopsida; Malpighiales; Euphorbiaceae. The record is from RNAcentral.
UCGAGAUAAUCACUAAAUAGGGUGGCAAGGAAGGCUGCAUUGACAACAUACUGAAGUGGCUGAGGUGCCCCGUGGUUUAACUGGAUCAAUCCUCCUUUGGUUCUGUUAAAGCUUGUAAAAAUUGGCAGGUAAGAACACAUGAUUAUACUGGUCUGGUUGUGAAAUGUCCUUAAUAUUUCUUCAUAUGGAUAUCCAGGGCUCAAGAACAGCCUCAAACGACUCAGAAGCACCUGAGCACC